CCCUUAGAUGUCCUGGGCCGCACGCGCGCUACACUGAGUGUCUGAGAUACGAGUCUGUCUAGCCGGCGAGGUCUAGGUAAUCGCUGAAAGACACAUCAUCCUUGGGAUAGAUUAUUGCAGAUAUUAAUCUUGAACGAGGAAUUCCUAGUAAGCGCAAGUCAACAGCUUGCGUUGAUUACGUCCCUGCCCUUUGUGCACACCGCCCGUCGCUACUACUGAUUGGAUGUUUAAGCGAGGUUCUCGAACUGCUAGCGACUUAGCUUCGGUGAGGUCGCCGUGUGGGAAGUGAACCUAGCUUUGGUGUCUAGAGGAAGUAAAAGUCGUAUCA
This 328-nucleotide ribosomal RNA is filed under the name uncultured eukaryote. Its description in RNAcentral is "partial 18S ribosomal RNA". It matches the Rfam family "Eukaryotic small subunit ribosomal RNA", at positions 1470 to 1796 of the family's 1831-position model. The record is from RNAcentral.